UACGGAGGGUGCAAGCGUUAUCCGGAAUCACUGGGUUUAAAGGGUGCGUAGGCGGCAAAAUAAGUCAGAGGUGAAAGCCCGGCGCUCAACGUCGGAAUUGCCUUUGAUACUGUUAUGCUUGAAUCAGGUUGAGGUCGGCGGAAUGUGACAUGUAGCGGUGAAAUGCAUAGAUAUGUCAUAGAACACCAAUUGCGAAGGCAGCUGGCUAGAUCUGUAUUGACGCUGAGGCACGAAAGCGUGGGGAGCGAAC
Molecule: ribosomal RNA, 250 nt
Filed under: uncultured bacterium
Lineage: Bacteria
Description: partial 16S ribosomal RNA
Rfam family: Bacterial small subunit ribosomal RNA
Source: RNAcentral